GAGCCCGUACCCCAGCAGGCUAGAGGGCGCUGGCUUAGAAUCAGUGUGUCGUGGGUUCAAAUCCCACCGGGCUCACAA
This 78-nucleotide transfer RNA is filed under the name Streptomyces sp. AC1-42T. RNAcentral describes it as "tRNA-Leu". It matches the Rfam family "tRNA". From Rfam's summary of the family: Transfer RNA (tRNA) molecules are approximately 80 nucleotides in length. RNAcentral also lists the same sequence under 1 other name. The record is from RNAcentral. Lineage: Bacteria; Bacillati; Actinomycetota; Actinomycetes; Kitasatosporales; Streptomycetaceae.